Molecule: ribosomal RNA, 253 nt
Filed under: uncultured bacterium
Lineage: Bacteria
Description: partial 16S ribosomal RNA
Rfam family: Bacterial small subunit ribosomal RNA
Source: RNAcentral
UACGUAGGGUGCAAGCGUUAAUCGGAAUUACUGGGCGUAAAGCGUGCGCAGGCGGUUUUGUAAGUCUGUCGUGAAAUCCCCGGGCUCAACCUGGGAAUUGCGUUGGAGACUGCAAGGCUAGAAUCUGGCAGAGGGGGGUAGAAUUCCACGUGUGAGCAGUGAAAUGCGUAGAGAUGUGGAGGAACACCGAUGGCGAAGGCAGCCCCCUGGGUCAAGAUUGACGCUCAUGCACGAAAGCGUGGGGAGCAACAGG